AUUGCCUUGCACUAGAUGAGGGCCGUGUCUCUGAUGAGCUCAUCUUUUCUGUCUCUAAUAGCAGGAGAAGCACGUUGCUGAAAACACUCUCAUAAAUCUUCGUGCAGUUGUUGGGGAAUGAGAGCUGAUGUCAUGUUGGGCUGAAUGCUUUCAGUCACAUAAACAACAGGAGGAAGCCUUAUCUCAUGGCACAGAAUUGAAUUCAACCCUGACACUCAUAUUUGCAAUCCCAAGAAAACCAUGCGUGAUCUAAGAUCCUCAAAAUGCAGUUUAAGAGACCCAGCAGCCAGUAAUUCUCCUUUAACCUUUGUGGGUGCAAAGGAGUGCUUGAUUCAGCAAGAACAUGAAAUGAAAGAGAGAUCAUUCUUUCACUGGAGCUGCUGCAAACUGGAGAAAGUGCCCUUACUCCAAAAGGAGGGUUAUUUAAACUUCCACCUCCACGUGGUUUGACAACAUCUGUGAUGUGCAGACAAGCUGGCUCCUAGCCGUGCUGCAUUGGCUCUGGCCUGCCAUGACAGACAGGACACCUCCGCUCACCUUCAGCUAUCCUGCUGGAAAAAAACAUGUAGGCUCUGGGCUGUGCAACAUCAUCAUCUGCACCCCUGGUGUGUGGACACAGUCACUGGCUUGCUUUUGACCAUGGUCAGUUUGUCCUUGACCUCAAAAAUAAGUCCUCGUGGGGUUUCUGGAUCAACUCAUACACAAGAAAUCACUCUAGACUUUGCCUUAAGAAGAAAGCACAUAGGAGACACCACAUCCAUCAACAGAAGAAGGCAGCUCAGUUCCCAAAAAUCUAGUGGACCUCUUCAGGACAUGAAUGGCUGGUGAAAGCUGUGAUGAUGUAUUGGCUGCAUACAGCUGCAAGGAGAUAUUUUAGUCUGAAGAAUGGCUUCAGAGUGGCUUUCCCUGCUCAUCAAACCGGAGUCUUAUAACUUAUAGGUGACUCUAAAGACCACAGUGCCAAGAUCCUUGACUUCUCAUGCCAGCACAUGUCAAAACAACCCUCUUACCCCUUAACUGUAUGCUGGGCUCCCUGUCACCAGUGCCACUCCAAGGAAGAGUCUUUGUGUAACUAAUCAUCUUCCAACAGGCAACUAAAGCGCAGAGCAACAGCGAGGACUUUUUCCACUCUUAGAAUUGCCAUUGACUUCCCUGGAAACGUUCAGGGCAGACCAAUGCCGGCAUGCCUUUUCCCACCAGCUAUUGGACAAUAAACUUGUUACUGUUCCCUGAUUGCUCCUUGCA
This is a long non-coding RNA of Numida meleagris (helmeted guineafowl), 1245 nucleotides long. NCBI's taxonomy places the organism in Eukaryota, Metazoa, Chordata, Aves, Galliformes, Numididae. The record is from Ensembl.